RNAcentral lists this ribosomal RNA (301 nucleotides) under uncultured bacterium. RNAcentral's name for it is "partial 16S ribosomal RNA". It matches the Rfam family "Bacterial small subunit ribosomal RNA", at positions 509 to 808 of the family's 1533-position model. The record is from RNAcentral.
CAGUAGCCGCGGGAACACGGAGGGUGCAAGCGUUAUCCGGAUUUAUUGGGUUUAAAGGGUCCGUAGGCGGAUCUGUAAGUCAGUGGUGAAAUCUCACAGCUUAACUGUGAAACUGCCAUUGAUACUGCAGGUCUUGAGUAAAUUUGAAGUGGCUGGAAUAAGUAGUGUAGCGGUGAAAUGCAUAGAUAUUACUUAGAACACCAAUUGCGAAGGCAGGUCACUAGAUUUAACUGACGCUGAGGUACGAAAGCAUGGGGAGCAAACAGGAUUAGAUACCCGCGUAGUCCCUGUCUCUUAUACA